GCCCCGGUAAACGGCGGCCGUAACUAUAACGGUCCUAAGGUAGCGAAAUUCCUUGUCGGGUAAGUUCCGACCUGCACGAAUGGCGUAAUGAUGGCCAGGCUGUCUCCACCCGAGACUCAGUGAAAUUGAACUCGCUGUGAAGAUGCAGUGUACCCGCGGCAAGACGGAAAGACCCCGUGAACCUUUACUAUAGCUUGACACUGAACAUUGAGCCUUGAUGUGUAGGAUAGGUGGGAGGCUUUGAAGUGUGGACGCCAGUCUGCAUGGAGCCGACCUUGAAAUACCACCCUUUAAUGUUUGAUGUUCUAACGUUGGCCCGUAAUCCGGGUUGCGGACAGUGUCUGGUGGGUAGUUUGACUGGGGCGGUCUCCUCCUAAAGAGUAACGGAGGAGCACGAAGGUUGGCUAAUCCUGGUCGGACAUCAGGAGGUUAGUGCAAUGGCAUAAGCCAGCUUGACUGCGAGCGUGACGGCGCGAGCAGGUGCGAAAGCAGGUCAUAGUGAUCCGGUGGUUCUGAAUGGAAGGGCCAUCGCUCAACGGAUAAAAGGUACUCCGGGGAUAACAGGCUGAUACCGCCCAAGAGUUCAUAUCGACGGCGGUGUUUGGCACCUCGAUGUCGGCUCAUCACAUCCUGGGGCUGAAGUAGGUCCCAAGGGUAUGGCUGUUCGCCAUUUAAAGUGGUACGCGAGCUGGGUUUAGAACGUCGUGAGACAGUUCGGUCCCUAUCUGCCGUGGGCGCUGGAGAACUGAGGGGGGCUGCUCCUAGUACGAGAGGACCGGAGUGGACGCAUCACUGGUGUUCGGGUUGUCAUGCCAAUGGCACUGCCCGGUAGCUAAAUGCGGAAGAGAUAAGUGCUGAAAGCAUCUAAGCACGAAACUUGCCCCGAGAUGAGUUCU
This 896-nucleotide ribosomal RNA is filed under the name Escherichia coli. RNAcentral describes it as "partial 23S ribosomal RNA". It matches the Rfam family "Bacterial large subunit ribosomal RNA", at positions 1917 to 2812 of the family's 2925-position model. Lineage: Bacteria; Pseudomonadati; Pseudomonadota; Gammaproteobacteria; Enterobacterales; Enterobacteriaceae. The record is from RNAcentral.